GAUUAAAGUGGCACGCGAGCUGGGUUCAGAACGUCGUGAGACAGUUCGGUCCCUAUCUGUGGUGGGCGUUGAGAAUUGAGAGGACCUGACUCUAGUACGAGAGGACCGAGUUGGACAGACCUCUGGUGUACCUGUUGUGGCGCCAGCUGCAUCGCAGGGUAGCUAUGUCUGGAAUGGAUAAGCGCUGAAAGCAUCUAAGCGCGAAGCCAACCUCAAGAUGAGUUCUCGUUUGAGGGCCGUUAUAGACGAUGACGUUGAUAGGCUACAGGUGUAAAGUCAGUAAUGGCAAAGCCGAGUAGUACUAAUUGCCCAAAACUUUUUACG
This 324-nucleotide ribosomal RNA is filed under the name Candidatus Competibacteraceae bacterium. RNAcentral describes it as "partial 23S ribosomal RNA". It matches the Rfam family "Bacterial large subunit ribosomal RNA", at positions 2586 to 2925 of the family's 2925-position model. The record is from RNAcentral. Lineage: Bacteria; Pseudomonadati; Pseudomonadota; Gammaproteobacteria; Candidatus Competibacteraceae.